Molecule: ribosomal RNA, 201 nt
Filed under: uncultured bacterium
Lineage: Bacteria
Description: partial 16S ribosomal RNA
Rfam family: Bacterial small subunit ribosomal RNA
Source: RNAcentral
UACGUAGGGCGCAAGCGUUGUCCGGAAUUAUUGGGCGUAAAGAGCUCGUAGGCGGUUUGUCGCGUCUGCUGUGAAAACCUAAGGCUCAACCUUGGGCUUGCAGUGGGUACGGGCAGACUAGAGUGCGGUAGGGUGACUGGAAGUUCCUGGUGUAGCGGUGGAAUGCGCAGAUAUCAGGAGGAACACCGAUGGCGAAGGCAG